RNAcentral lists this ribosomal RNA (417 nucleotides) under uncultured bacterium. RNAcentral's name for it is "bacterial SSU rRNA". It matches the Rfam family "Bacterial small subunit ribosomal RNA", at positions 355 to 785 of the family's 1533-position model. The record is from RNAcentral.
UAGGGAAUAUUCCGCAAUGGGCGAAAGACCUGACGGAGCAACGCCGCGUGAGUGAUGAAGGCCUUCGGGUCGUAAAGCUCUGUUGCAGGGGAAAAAGAAAGUGAUUGUACCCUGUCAGAAAGGACCGGCAAACUUCGUGCCAGCAGCCGCGGUAAUACGAAGGGUCCUAGCGUUGUUCGGAAUCAUUGGGCGUAAAGAGCACGUAGGUGGCCUUGUAAGUCAGAUGUGAAAGCCCAGGGCUCAACCCUGGAAGUGCAUCUGAAACUGCUUGGCUUGAGUACAGAAGAGGUAAGUGGAAUUCCUGGUGUAGUGGUGAAAUACGUAGAUAUCAGGAGGAACAUCGGUGGCGAAGGCGGCUUACUGGUCUAGUACUGACACUGAGGUGCGAAAGCAUGGGGAUCAAACAGGAUUAGAUAC